ACGCGAAACCUCCCCUUUUCAGAAGGGGGCGGUCGUCGGGGCGUGGCGGCCCUGGCCUGAUGAGCAGCCGAAC
Molecule: non-coding RNA, 73 nt
Filed under: Magnetococcales bacterium
Lineage: Bacteria; Pseudomonadati; Pseudomonadota; Magnetococcia; Magnetococcales
Source: RNAcentral